ACAUAGUUUAUACAUAUAUUAUACAGUCGAUGUGGCAGCAGAGGUAUACAAAGUAUGACUAAUGCAGUCUUUUAAAUCAUUUUUGCUUAAAAAAUGAAUAUUUUAAGGGAAAAAAAGGGAGGGGGUUUUAGCCGAUAGGCGAGACAUAUGCAGUAUCGCAAUGCAAAUGUCUCGAGUCCGGCACUCCCCUAGGGUACGGGCUCUAGGGGGUCUUUUGAAGAUUUCCCCCUACCCUCGUA
Molecule: non-coding RNA, 239 nt
Organism: Trachymyrmex septentrionalis
Lineage: Eukaryota; Metazoa; Arthropoda; Insecta; Hymenoptera; Formicidae
Source: Rfam